This is a non-coding RNA of Pimephales promelas (fathead minnow), 626 nucleotides long. The record is from RefSeq and is a predicted model, not a curated record. NCBI's taxonomy places the organism in Eukaryota, Metazoa, Chordata, Actinopteri, Cypriniformes, Leuciscidae.
CAGCCUCUUCUAUGUGCUGAAUAUUAUGUACCCCAAGGAAGCAGCCCUGACUCUGGAAUUUAUCCAGAGGAGCCUGCUGGGUAUCAAUCCGGAACGGGGGUCUAAAGCAGAAAAAAAAGGGCACAAAACAGUACAACAUUCCACCAAAACUGCUUCGAUUCCUGUCGGACCUGAGUGACUUCCAGAAUCCUUGGAAGAUUUAAAGCCAUAGUACCAUCUGGACUGGAGAGAUGUGUGUGUGUGUGUGUGUCUCUUUCAACAGUUACGCUAUUGUACCCCCAUCACCAACUAGGCACUCAAAACUAUGUUAAUUUGUGUUUUGUUCUUAAUAGUUCAUUCCAUUUACUGUGAUGCAACAAACUGUUAUGGUACAAAAAUGUUUUUUUGACAGUAUAUUGGUUAUUUUUCGCACAAUAGCUGUAGAAUAUAUGUAUCAAAUUUUCUAGCUUAAUCUGCACUCUGUUCAUGAAUUUGGUUGAGGUUUGUUGCAUUGCUAUUCAGGACAACAGGGUCAACUUUUUUAUCUUUAUAUGUCAAGUAUGACAUCAAGUGUCAUUCUUAAAAGAUAAUGUUUCAGUGUGUUUUAGUUAUGUUAAACUGUGAAAUUGGUCAUUUUGACCCAAACU